GCCUGAGUGGCUCAGUCGGUGAAGCAUCUGCCUUCCGCUCAGGUCAUGAUCUCAGGGUCCUGGGAUCAAGUCCCGGGUCAGGCU
This 84-nucleotide transfer RNA is filed under the name Ailuropoda melanoleuca (giant panda). It matches the Rfam family "tRNA". Rfam says of the family: Transfer RNA (tRNA) molecules are approximately 80 nucleotides in length. Their secondary structure includes four short double-helical elements and three loops (D, anti-codon, and T loops). The record is from Rfam by way of RNAcentral. Lineage: Eukaryota; Metazoa; Chordata; Mammalia; Carnivora; Ursidae.